AACUUACCAGUGAUGACCAAAAAAAAAAACAAAUGUCUGAACAAUUGACUGUCCAGUGAUAAGUGUUUUGAACUGAGGUAAGCU
Small nucleolar RNA from Pimephales promelas (fathead minnow), 84 nucleotides. RefSeq annotates it as small nucleolar RNA SNORD72. NCBI's taxonomy places the organism in Eukaryota, Metazoa, Chordata, Actinopteri, Cypriniformes, Leuciscidae. The record is from RefSeq and is a predicted model, not a curated record.